This 468-nucleotide ribosomal RNA is filed under the name uncultured bacterium. RNAcentral describes it as "partial 16S ribosomal RNA". It matches the Rfam family "Bacterial small subunit ribosomal RNA", at positions 28 to 507 of the family's 1533-position model. The record is from RNAcentral.
GACGAACGCUGGCGGCGUGCUUAACACAUGCAAGUCGAACGGAAAGGCCCUGCUUUUGUGGGGUGCUCGAGUGGCGAACGGGUGAGUAACACGUGAGUAACCUGCCCUUGACUUUGGGAUAACUUCAGGAAACUGGGGCUAAUACCGGAUAGGAGCUCCUGCUGCAUGGUGGGGGUUGGAAAGUUUCGGCGGUUGGGGAUGGACUGGCGGCUUAUCAGCUUGUUGGUGGGGUAGUGGCUUACCAAGGCUUUGACGGGUAGCCGGCCUGAGAGGGUGACCGGGCACAUUGGGACUGAGGUAGGGCCCAGACGCGUACGGGAGGCAGCAGGGGGGAAUCUUGCACAAUGAGCGGAAGCCUGAGGCAGCGACGCCGCGUGCGGGAUGACGGCCUUCGGGUUGUAAAGCGCUUUCGCCUGUGACGAAGCGUGAGUGACGGUAAUGGGUAAAGAAGCACCGGCUAACUACGUG